RNAcentral lists this unclassified non-coding RNA (911 nucleotides) under Hevea brasiliensis (rubber tree). Lineage: Eukaryota; Viridiplantae; Streptophyta; Magnoliopsida; Malpighiales; Euphorbiaceae. The record is from RNAcentral.
AAACAGCAAAAGCAAUGCCUGAAAAUAUGGUAAGGAGAGAGAAACAGAUGAAUGUUAUGUUCAUGGAGAUAAGAGCUAUUACCAUUUUUUCUUCUUCUUCUUCUACUUCUUCUCUCUCUCUUUUUUACUGGCAUUUGUUGCUGGUGCUUAAUGAUUGCUUUUGUCAUCAUUGAUGACGGUAUCAUCUUAGUGAACUCUGAAUUAUUCUUUCCAUAACAUUGAUUGUAAAAACUUUUGUUUUCCAUUUUUAUCGCCUUGGCGGUUUCAUUGGAUUCUGUUUAUUGUAAUUACAAGAGUCAAGGGUAACUGGAUUUCAACUAAAAUAAUACAUUUUUUCGUGGUAGUUUAAAAUAUAUUAGGAAGAAAUAUAUAUAACAAAAAAGUAUAUGACAAUUUAAGUUCAAUAGCUACUAUAAUUAGAAAGCCAACGAUGAUAUGAUAAUUUUUGCAUCCUAGUAAACACUUUUUUUCUUUUGACCUUCUAUUUUAGAUAUAAAACCAUCUAAAUGAUCUUUGAUAUGGUUUCACACUUGGCUACUCCCUGAUUCCUGCUGAUGAUAAUGUAUGAGUUUCAGUGUGCAUUUUGUUUUUUUGAAAAUCUGAGCUGGUAGUAUUUUUACUAGAGCUUCAUAUAACGUGUAUACAAGAAUGUCUUUAUUUGUCUACAUUGUACACAUGUUGCUUAUAAAAUUUGCAAUUUGUUCUUCAUCCACUACAAAUGAAAAUGGAUCAAAAAUUUUAAUAUUCAACUCCUAAGUAUGUACUCCUAAUGUUACAUCUUUCUGGCUUAAGGUCUUGUUUAAUGCCAAGAUGCACUUUUGGCUCAUAUAUGUUGUGACAGAAACUUAACACCAUUAAUUCUGGGCCAAAUUCUUUUUGAAGGGUAGCUAUAUAGAGCCUACUGGUUAAAA